AACAUUAGUGUUCGCUGGUGAAAUCUAUACCAAUCCUCUAAGUGGCUCGAUCUCCCACUCUAAAUAUCGAAGAAUUUAGAAUGGGAGGGUGACUACCUGUACCUUUUGGGUCAGGUAACACCCCAUCUACACAAGUCAACUAUUUGGUUGAAUUAUUUUACGGGCGUACGUCCAUGAAAUGAUUAAGUUACAUAUAGACUGGCCCAAGUAGGUGGACAACA
Molecule: non-coding RNA, 221 nt
Filed under: Botryosphaeria dothidea
Lineage: Eukaryota; Fungi; Ascomycota; Dothideomycetes; Botryosphaeriales; Botryosphaeriaceae
Source: RNAcentral